UACGUAGGGACCGAGCGUUGUCCGGAUUCAUUGGGCGUAAAGAGCGUGUAGGCGGCCCGGUAAGUCCGCUGUGAAAGUCGGGGGCUCAACCCUCGAAUGCCGGUGGAUACUGUCGGGCUAGAGUGCGGAAGAGGCGAGUGGAAUUCCUGGUGUAGCGGUGAAAUGCGCAGAUAUCAGGAGGAACACCUGUGGCGAAAGCGGCGCACUGGACCACAACUGACGCUGAGGCGCGAAAGCUAGGGGAGCAAACAGG
Molecule: ribosomal RNA, 253 nt
Filed under: uncultured bacterium
Lineage: Bacteria
Description: partial 16S ribosomal RNA
Rfam family: Bacterial small subunit ribosomal RNA
Source: RNAcentral